GCAAUAACUGACCGGAGGCUGUUAAUCUUCCUCUUAUCUGUAACUUCUCAGCAUCUCCUAACCUCUCUGCCUCAGCUUGCUUGCCCAUCACCUCCUGGAUACACUGUAACUUCUCAGAAUUCAGAGGGGAACAAUUCUAAAAACUCAGGGGUCAGAUUUUCACUUACACCUGGCAGAAUUUGAACUCUUCUGAGUUAGAAGGAUCAUGGGAGUAAAGAACAGGUGUGCUUCAAGGACCGCCAUAUGCCGUGUACACCUUUGUACUUGUACAGACGUGUGCAUGUGAAACACGCUUUAAAUCAAUGUGUGUGUGGUCAAGCUGGGUGAACCCACUAGCAUGGCAAAGGAACUCUCUGCAUGGGUGGCCUUGCUUGGGAGGAAGCCAGAGAGCGUGUGGCUGAGGUUCAAAUGAAGCAGUCAUUCUGUCUUUCUAGUCAGCUCCAUACCAUCUCCACAGGAGAAGGGAGGCAGCAGCUACAGCUGUUCUCCACUCACCUCCAGGUUUCUGGGCUCCACAACUGGCGUGGUUAUCAAUGACUUGUCUGUUGGAUCUGGAUCUGGGGCAGCAGCUCAGUGGUAGAAUGCUUGCCUCGUAUGUGCAAGGGCUUGGGUUCAGCACUAAAGAAAGAAAGUCUUUCACUGGUUCACCUAGAUGCAAGUUGCCUCUGAGCCCUGCAUAAGGGAGGCAGCCAUCUGUGUUCUGAGAGGACCCCUAGAUCUUGGGGGAGAUCAUUCCACAACACCAUUUGUAUUGUUCUAACAGGAGCUGAGUUAGGCAUGGUGGCAUACACCUACAAUCUCAGCACUCAGGAAACUGAGGCAGGAGGCUGGCUAUGUGUUCAGGGCCAGCCUGGGAUACAGAGUGAGUCUGUCCCAAAAAACUUAACCUUCAUUAAUUAGAGUUCUAGAGAUGCUCAACCUUUCAGAGCACUGGCUGCUCUUCAGAGGACUUGUGUUCAGUUCUAGACACCCACAUGGCAGUUCACAGACUGUGUCUGACACCCGAUUCUGGCCCCUCCAGGCACCAGGCACGAACAUAGAGCACGGGCAUACAUGCAGGUACAACACCCACACCAAACCAUAAAUAAAAGAAUUGUAGCUGCUGCCUACCUAGAGCCUACAAGCCUCUCUCUGGUAACAGUCUGCCAGGUAAUAGGUUAUCAUCCUGGUGCAGGAGAUCCCACUGGACAUGAAGAGGUUAUCUGCACAGGAAGCUGUAUUUUGGGCAUGCAGUGAACUAACUUACUUACUUUCUUUCUUUCUUUCUUCCUUUCUUUCUCUCUCUCUCUUUCUUUCUUUUCUUUCUGCUCUUUCUUUUUAAUUAAAAAUGUUAGUAACACGUUUUACUCAUUUCCUCCGUUGCUGAGAUUCUGUUCCUUGUAUUUCUAAACUUGGAGAGGAGACCAAACCUGUAGUGUGGUGCAGUGAGCACACCCGUGCCUGUGACUUCUACCUCCAGCACAGCCAAGCCUGAUACCUCACACACACGAAAAAGCGAGAAGGAAGACCAGAGGGGUCUUCAGGGGCUAAAGUUUUUCCAUUGUUUUCUGUAUUUUAAAACAAUACUGUAUCUAACCAAAGCUGUGAAAGGAAUGUUCUCUUUGGCCAAGUGGCAUGGUCCCCUUUCCCUGGAUUUUAUUCUACUUUGUCAGCUCAGACCCAUAAAUGUUGUUUGAAAAAGAAAAUGUGAAAUUCUACUACUUUUUAUACUAAUUCAGUCUUAUUAAAAGCAUUGAGUAUUUCAGCAUGGUCAUAGACAUGCUCGUUAAGAUCUGAACAAGAUGGUAUUUAUGCGGAAAUUGAAAUGUCCUGGCAGAUCCUAGGCGCUCCUUCACAGCUCACGCGACUCUGCUGUGGUAUCACUGGGCCAGCUCAUGGCCAGGGCUCACACAAGUCAUAUGCUAGGCUAGAAUUUCUCCGUAUACUAGCAUGCCUUUCUGAAAAUAAAUUUUUUUCCUAAUUUUC
This 1965-nucleotide long non-coding RNA is filed under the name Rattus norvegicus (Norway rat). RNAcentral's name for it is "long non-coding RNA NONRATT022308". Lineage: Eukaryota; Metazoa; Chordata; Mammalia; Rodentia; Muridae. The record is from RNAcentral.